UCUGUAGGUGAACCUGCAGAUGGA
Molecule: ribosomal RNA, 24 nt
Filed under: Bensingtonia bomiensis
Lineage: Eukaryota; Fungi; Basidiomycota; Agaricostilbomycetes; Agaricostilbales; Kondoaceae
Description: partial 18S ribosomal RNA
Source: RNAcentral